GUGAACGCUAGCGGUAGGCCUAACACAUGCAAGUCGAACGGCAGCACAGUAAGAGCUUGCUCUUACGGGUGGCGAGUGGCGGACGGGUGAGGAAUACAUCGGAAUCUACUUUUUCGUGGGGGAUGACGUAGGGAAACUUACGCUAAUACCGCAUACGACCUACGGGUGAAAGCAGGGGAUCUUCGGACCUUGCGCGAUUGAAUGAGCCGAUGUCGGAUUAGCUAGUUGGCGGGGUAAAGGCCCACCAAGGCGACGACCCGUAGCUGGUCUGAGAGGAUGAUCAGCCACACUGGAACUGAGACACGGUCCAGACUCCUACGGGAGGCAGCAGUGGGGAAUAUUGGACAAUGGGCGCAAGCCUGAUCCAGCCAUACCGCGUGGGUGAAGAAGGCCUUCGGGUUGUAAAGCCCUUUUGUUGGGAAAGAAAAGCAGCAGGUUAAUACCCCGCUGUUCUGACGGUACCCAAAGAAUAAGCACCGGCUAACUUCGUG
RNAcentral lists this ribosomal RNA (491 nucleotides) under uncultured bacterium. RNAcentral's name for it is "partial 16S ribosomal RNA". It matches the Rfam family "Bacterial small subunit ribosomal RNA", at positions 29 to 507 of the family's 1533-position model. The record is from RNAcentral.